AUUGAACGCUGGCGGCAGGCCUAACACAUGCAAGUCGAGCGGAUGGAGGGAGCUUGCUCUUGUCUUCAGCGGCCGACGGGUGGGUAAUGCCUAGGAAUCUACCUGGUAUUGGGGGAUAACGUCCGUACACGGGCCCUAAUCUCGCAUCCGUCCUGAUGGUGAACCUGGGGGUUCUUCGGUCCUCGCCCUUUCUGCUGUCCCUAGGUCGGAUUACCUAGUUGGUGGGGUAAAGGCCUACCAAGGCGACGAUCCGUAACUGGACUGAGAGGAUGACCAGGCACACUGGAACUGAGACACGGUCCAGACUCCUACGGGAGGCAGCAGUGGGGAAUAUUGGGCAAUGGGCGAAAGCCUGAUCCAGCCAUGCCGCGUGAGUGAAGAAGGUCUUCGGAUUGUAAAGCACUUUAAGUAGGGAGGAAGGGAAGUAAGUGAAUACCUUGCUGUUUUGACGUUACCAACAGAAUAAGCACCGGCUAACUUCGUG
RNAcentral lists this ribosomal RNA (484 nucleotides) under uncultured bacterium. RNAcentral describes it as "partial 16S ribosomal RNA". It matches the Rfam family "Bacterial small subunit ribosomal RNA", at positions 30 to 507 of the family's 1533-position model. The record is from RNAcentral.